This is a long non-coding RNA of Tripterygium wilfordii, 1808 nucleotides long. RefSeq lists it as uncharacterized. Lineage: Eukaryota; Viridiplantae; Streptophyta; Magnoliopsida; Celastrales; Celastraceae. The record is from RefSeq and is a predicted model, not a curated record. The transcript has 2 exons.
AGGUUAAACGAGAGAACCUCCAAUUCCAAAUACGCGUUUCACAACCAGACGGUCUCUCUCGCUUUGGCAUCUCAUCUCCUCAAUUCGAACGAUCUUCGUUUCCUCUCCUCUUCUCCCGCUAACUUCAGAAGCAAGACAACGAUGCCUUCAGUUCUGGAGAACGAAGCGUCCUUCGGACUCUCUAGAUACUUCAGCGGAUCAUCGCCGCUGAAGCCUCCGUGAAAUGGAAAGCGUUAUCCGCAGGACCGCCUCCGACCUCGGUUUUAGAAACCUAGUAAAAUUUUUGCGAUUCGGAUGUUUCCAGGACCUGCCGUUUUCCUUCUCUCGCCAAAGCCUUGCAGAACGGAGCGAUUAGGCUCUACGGUUGUCGCCACUUGAAUAGUCCAUAGGGCUUCACGUUUGCCGAGGAAGACAUUGAAAGAUACUGGAAUGCAAAUCUUAUGCUGAAUUUCUUGGGAAGCAAAAUAUGGCUUCUUGACCUGGUUUUGUGACGUUUAUGCAUGACACGAGCAGUAUGAUCAGCCUCAAGGCUUGUCAGGUAUAGUAUUCUGUGCUAACAUACUUUUGGACAUGGAGUGUUGGUGCCAUCUGAUUGUGGCUCUUAUUUUAGAGCUUUUUGCUUUUUAAUGGGCAGUUUAUGCCUCCAGGAGUUUAAGACAAUGAAGAAUUUUAGUGGAGAAAAAUGUGGUCACAUGUUCAAUUCCUAGAGGUUAGUUUCAAUUCCUGGAAAUAGCCUCUCCACAUAAUAUGUGGGGGUAAGGUCUGCGUACAUCCAACAUGUUCCCGACCCCAUCCACUGUGGGAGCCUUGUGCAUGAGAAUUGUUUACUUUUUAGAGCCAUGAGAUGAGGUAUACCCUACUUUGCAAUGAUGACAAAUGGUUGUUUUCAAUAUAUUUGAUGGACAUUUCACUUUUGCGUAUGCAUGGAUGUGUUUCUUUCUUCACUUUGCUUGAUCAUCAUAUAUGUGCAUCCUCGAGGCAAGCGUUUUACGUUUUCUGGGCGAUUUGGGGUAUCUUUACGUUUACUUGUAUUCGAGGCUGGGAAAAAAUAUCCUGGUUGUGAUAACUUUGCAAUUAGAGGGGCUUGCUGGAUUUCAGAGAUAGAAUAUCCGCUUACUGUGUGUAUUUUUUUUGUUAAUUUGCAUAUCCCACUCUUUUUUGGUAAUCAAUGUAUCCCACAUUACAGUAGUUGAUGAUCAUUUUCACGUCUUUUGCUUCAAACUUGACUGCGAAUCCGAAAAGAUAGCCUGAGCAUACAAGUAUAUUUUAUAUGGCGCUCAAAUGUUCUUAGAAUUAAAGGACUGUCCAACUUAAAUCAUUGCUUCGUUUGAGGACGUUUGCUUGGAAAGGGAACUUUAGUUUCAACCCUACUGUUCUAGAUCAAAUAAGUAACCAGUACACUGCUUCCUUAUUACAGUUUUGGUACCUGUUGCAGAAGAUUAUAGCUGAUUUGAUAAUUUGGGAUUUCUAGUCAACUUUUUUUUUGAGUGACAAAACAAUAGAAUAUAUUAGAUAGACACCAGUGGUGCCACCUGAUUGCAGCAGACAGUAGGAUUGGUUCCAAGAAAUAAGCUGUAUGAUCAAAAACUUUUGUAGGAAAGGAUAUUUAGUUCAACAUCAACAUAAUUAAUUUGUCCUGCUAUUUUGUUUUCCCAUUAAGAGUAUGUUGGCGGGUAUGUUGAAGUAGUUGAUGGUUAAAGAUUUUUGUAGUGACUUCUGGUUCAAUGUUCUAUUUUUUUCCAUUAAAUUGAACAUAAACAAUUGUUUACAAUAUUGCAAUGCUGUUUUCCAUUGAAGAAGUAAGUGUU